Molecule: ribosomal RNA, 440 nt
Filed under: uncultured bacterium
Lineage: Bacteria
Description: partial 16S ribosomal RNA
Rfam family: Bacterial small subunit ribosomal RNA
Source: RNAcentral
CCUACGGGUGGCAGCAGUGGGGAAUAUUGCACAAUGGGGGGAACCCUGAUGCAGCGACGCCGCGUGAGUGAAGAAGUAUUUCGGUAUGUAAAGCUCUAUCAGCAGGGAAGAAAAUGACGGUACCUGACUACGAAUCCCCGGCUAACUACGUGCCAGCAGCCGCGGCCAUACGUAGGGGGCAAGCGUUAUCCGGAUUUACUGGGCGUAAGGGGAGCGCAGACGGGUGUGCAAGUCUGGAGUGAAAGGCGGGGGCCCAACCCCCGGACUGCUCUGGAAACUGUAAGGCUGGAGUGCAGGAGAGGUAAGCGGAAUUCCUAGUGUAGCGGUGAAAUGCAUAGAUAUUAGGAGGAAUACCAGUGGCGAAGGCGGCUUACUGGACUGCAACUGACGUUGAGGCUCGAAAGCGUGGGGAGCAAACAGGAUUAGAUACCCCUGUAGUC